RNAcentral lists this ribosomal RNA (439 nucleotides) under uncultured bacterium. RNAcentral's name for it is "partial 16S ribosomal RNA". It matches the Rfam family "Bacterial small subunit ribosomal RNA", at positions 339 to 795 of the family's 1533-position model. The record is from RNAcentral.
CUACGGGAUGCACCAGUGGGGAAUAUUGCACAAUGGGGGAAACCCUGAUGCAGCGACGCCGCGUGAGUGAAGAAGUAUUUCGGUAUGUAAAGCUCUAUCAGCAGGGAAGAAAAUGACGGUACCUGACUAAGAAGCCCCGGCUAACUACGUGCCAGCAGCCGCGGUAAUACGUAGGGGGCAAGCGUUAUCCGGAUUUACUGGGUGUAAAGGGAGCGUAGACGGUGAGACAAGUCUGAAGUGAAAUCCCGGGGCUCAACCCCGGAACUGCUUUGGAAACUGCCUGACUGGAGUGCAGGAGAGGUAAGUGGAAUUCCUAGUGUAGCGGUGAAAUGCGUAGAUAUUAGGAGGAACACCAGUGGCGAAGGCGGCUUACUGGACUGUAACUGACGUUGAGGCUCGAAAGCGUGGGGAGCAAACAGGAUUAGAUACCCUCGUAGUC